GAAGCCAAAGUCCGUCCGACACUUCACGUCCGCAGUAGAAAUAGGGUUCGCGUCAGGCACGAACGAACAUCCACGUACAUUUUCCGCGUCACUCUUGCCCACGCACACGCUACGAAGACGGUUCUCUCUGCUGCAGGGAAUGAGAAAUCGCGUGCUAGAGCCGGAUUUCCGGUUACAGACAGUUUGGAACAUGGAGGAAACGAGGCUGAAGCUAUUCGAUAUCACGCUAUUACACGGAGAGAGGGCCCUUUGAAGAUUAGGGCUGACAAGACCAUACCGACCACCCUAAUUGUGAAUUAUCGAUCGCGAACUACGGUGUUGGAGAUAGUCACCUGUUUCAACCGUGGCCCAUGUUAGGUUUCCACAAUGUCCUCGUUGUCGCUAACAACAUCUGCGCACUAUCAUGCUUGAAAUGGCAAACCUCUUGAGCCAAUAAUCUUGUCAAUCCCGUGCGCGUUACGUGAUCUUUCACGCACAUCACGACGUCGAAUCAAUUUUCCCGUGGACGUCACCGAUAUCUUUUCUUAAUUGAAAAACGACUUCUGCAGCAAUGAACAAAACACCGUUUGCGUCGUAAAAGAAGCAGAAAACAGUGCAAAUUCUUGUUUUUGUCUUACCAAAAGCCAGAUCAAACGAAAAAUACUCGUUAUCAAUUUAUAAAAUUAUUUUAC
Molecule: long non-coding RNA, 671 nt
Organism: Pseudomyrmex gracilis
Lineage: Eukaryota; Metazoa; Arthropoda; Insecta; Hymenoptera; Formicidae
Exons: 3
Source: RefSeq, a predicted model, not a curated record